RNAcentral lists this ribosomal RNA (465 nucleotides) under Vreelandella stevensii. RNAcentral's name for it is "partial 16S ribosomal RNA". It matches the Rfam family "Bacterial small subunit ribosomal RNA", at positions 338 to 795 of the family's 1533-position model. The record is from RNAcentral. Lineage: Bacteria; Pseudomonadati; Pseudomonadota; Gammaproteobacteria; Oceanospirillales; Halomonadaceae.
CCUACGGGUGGCUGCAGUGGGGAAUAUUGGACAAUGGGGGGAACCCUGAUCCAGCCAUGCCGCGUGUGUGAAGAAGGCCCUCGGGUUGUAAAGCACUUUCAGUGAGGAAGAACGCCUGGUGGUUAAUACCCAUCAGGAAAGACAUCACUCACAGAAGAAGCACCGGCUAACUCCGUGCCAGCAGCCGCGGUAAUACGGAGGGUGCGAGCGUUAAUCGGAAUUACUGGGCGUAAAGCGCGCGUAGGUGGCUUGAUAAGCCGGUUGUGAAAGCCCCGGGCUCAACCUGGGAACGGCAUCCGGAACUGUCAAGCUAGAGUGCAGGAGAGGAAGGUAGAAUUCCCGGUGUAGCGGUGAAAUGCGUAGAGAUCGGGAGGAAUACCAGUGGCGAAGGCGGCCUUCUGGACUGACACUGACACUGAGGUGCGAAAGCGUGGGCAGCAAACAGGAUUAGAUACCCCAGUAGUC